AAUCUGCUGCGGGCAGAUGAAGUGGAUGUGGCUGUCGAUGCCGCCUGCAGUGACGAUGUUGCCCUCGCAGCUGAUGACCUCGGUGCCGGGUCCGAUGAUGAUGUCCACGCCCGGCUGGGUGUCGGGGUUGCCGGCCUUGCCGAUGGCGGCUAUGCGGCCUGCGCGCAAUCCAAUAUCCGCCUUGAAGAUGCCGGUGUGGUCCACCACGAGGGCAUUGGUCAGCACCGUGUCCACCGCCCCCUGAGCGUUGCUGCGCUGGCUUUGUGCCAUGCCGUCGCG
Molecule: small RNA, 279 nt
Filed under: Acidovorax facilis
Lineage: Bacteria; Pseudomonadati; Pseudomonadota; Betaproteobacteria; Burkholderiales; Comamonadaceae
Description: 5' ureB small RNA
Rfam family: 5' ureB small RNA
Source: RNAcentral